AGGGGUAUAGUUCUUCGGAAUUAGAGACCGGCGCACGGGUGCGUAACGCGUAUGCAAUCUACCUUUCACAGAGGGAUAGCCCAGAGAAAUUUGGAUUAAUACCUCAUAGUAUAUAGACCUGGCAUCGGGAUUAUAUUAAAGUCACAACGGUGAAAGAUGAGCAUGCGUCCCAUUAGCUAGUUGGUAAGGUAACGGCUUACCAAGGCUACGAUGGGUAGGGGUCCUGAGAGGGAGAUCCCCCACACUGGUACUGAGACACGGACCAGACUCCUACGGGAGGCAGCAGUGAGGAAUAUUGGACAAUGGGCGCAAGCCUGAUCCAGCCAUGCCGCGUGCAGGAUGACGGUCCUAUGGAUUGUAAACUGCUUUUGCACAGGAAGAAACAACGCUACGUGUAGCGUCUUGACGGUACUGUGAGAAUAAGGAUCGGCUAACUCCGUGCCAGCAGCCGCGGUAAUACGGAGGAUCCAAGCGUUAUCCGGAAUCAUUGGGUUUAAAGGGUCCGUAGGCGGUUUAGUAAGUCAGUGGUGAAAGCCCAUCGCUCAACGGUGGAACGGCCAUUGAUACUGCUAGACUUGAAUUAUUAGGAAGUAACUAGAAUAUGUAGUGUAGCGGUGAAAUGCUUAGAGAUUACAUAGAAUACCAAUUGCGAAGGCAGGUUACUACUAAUGGAUUGACGCUGAUGGACGAAAGCGGGGGUAGCGAACAGGAUUAGAUACCCUGGUAGUCCACGCCGUAAACGAUGGAUACUAGCUGUUGGAAGCAAUUUCAGUGGCUAAGCGAAAGUGAUAAGUAUCCCACCUGGGGAGU
Molecule: ribosomal RNA, 810 nt
Filed under: uncultured Bacteroidota bacterium
Lineage: Bacteria; Pseudomonadati; Bacteroidota
Description: bacterial SSU rRNA
Rfam family: Bacterial small subunit ribosomal RNA
Source: RNAcentral